GUGCCAGCGCGCGGUAAUACGGAGGGUGCAAGCGUUGUCCGGAUUUAUUGGGUUUAAAGGGUGCGUAGGCGGCCCAUUAAGUCAGGGGUGAAAUCCCGGGGCUCAACCCCGGAACUGCCUUUGAUACUGGUGGGCUUGGGUUCGGUAGAGGCGGGCGGAACUGGUGGUGUAGCGGUGAAAUGCAUAGAUACCACCAAGAACCCCGAUUGCGAAGGCAGCUCGCUGUGCCGAAACUGACGCUGAGGCACGAAAGCGUGGGGAGCGAACAGGAUUAGAUACCCUAGUAGUCC
RNAcentral lists this ribosomal RNA (290 nucleotides) under uncultured bacterium. Its description in RNAcentral is "partial 16S ribosomal RNA". It matches the Rfam family "Bacterial small subunit ribosomal RNA", at positions 505 to 796 of the family's 1533-position model. The record is from RNAcentral.